Molecule: ribosomal RNA, 620 nt
Filed under: bacterium enrichment culture clone dylF86
Lineage: Bacteria
Description: bacterial SSU rRNA
Rfam family: Bacterial small subunit ribosomal RNA
Source: RNAcentral
CUGGCUCAGAUUGAACGCUGGCGGCAGGCCUAACACAUGCAAGUCGAGCGGAGGAAGGGAGCUUGCUCCUGGAAUCAGCGGCGGACGGGUGAGUAAUGCCUGGGAAUCUGCCUGGUAGUGGGGGAUAACGUCUCGAAAGGGACGCUAAUACCGCGUACGUCCUACGGGAGAAAGCAGGGGAUCUUCGGACCUUGCGCUAUCAGAUGAGCCCAGGCCGGAUUAGCUUGUUGGUGAGGUAAUGGCUCACCAAGGCGACGAUCCGUAGCUGGUCUGAGAGGAUGAUCAGCCACACUGGGACUGAGACACGGCCCAGACUCCUACGGGAGGCAGCAGUGGGGAAUAUUGGACAAUGGGCGAAAGCCUGAUCCAGCCAUGCCGCGUGUGUGAAGAAGGUCUUCGGAUUGUAAAGCACUUUAAGUUGGGAGGAAGGGGUUGAAGCUAAUACCUUCAAUCUUUGACGUUACCAACAGAAUAAGCACCGGCUAACUCUGUGCCAGCAGCCGCGGUAAUACAGAGGGUGCAAGCGUUAAUCGGAAUUACUGGGCGUAAAGCGCGCGUAGGUGGUUCAGUAAGAUGGAAGUGAAAUCCCCGGGCUUAACCUGGGAACUGCUUUCAUAACU